AGAAAAAGAAUGUCUUUUGAGACAAAGAACUCUGAGACGUGCCCACACUACAGGAAGUGGAAGUUUGAGAAGUAUGUGGAUAUAUACCCUGGGAAGCAUCCAGAGGCUUAGCCAAGAGCUGAAAGAUCUGGGGAAUUCUAGCCGGGCAAUAAGUAAAUCAGAAGCAAUACCGUUCUUGGAGGGAUUGCAAAGAUUAGUGCCCUGUCAGACUUGAAAUUUUGUAUUGGUGGUGAUGCCAGCCAUAUCCCUUUCCUGCUCACAUAUUUUCAUCUAGAGAACACGAGUGGGUCCUGGACAAUGACACUGAAAUCUCAAACUCAAUUAUAUGGUAAUUCCACUUAUAUUUCUAUCAAUAAUUUGCUAACAAUGGAUCUAGAAAAACUUCUUUUUUUUUUAAUCCUAUGCAUGUUGAAAAGAAAAAUAGAUGGGUUUUACUUUUGAUCAGAAGGACUAGAAAUAAGCUUCUGUGUUGUCACUUAGGUCACAGUAGCCUCCAUGUUCACUUUCCCCUCCCACAGAAUCCCAUACUUACCCAUUAACAUGGAUGGUAAUAGGCAGGAAGUGGUGAAAUGGGAAGAAAGUGAGGGAUAUCCUUGAGUUCAACAGAGGCUGUUUCAUCUCAAGCAUUCAUGGCUUGGGGCUAAAAUUCUGGAAAAACAACAUCCACCAAGGCCUCCCCAGGCCAAUAGUUUCCAGAAUGGAUUUCACAGACAACUUUAGGGUGAGGAUUAGAAAGGACUUUUUUUUUUUAAUAGAAGACAGCUCAAGACAAAGGAAGCAAGCAGCACUCCUUGAUAGCAGGAGGGGAAUCCCAAGAAAACUUGCCACUGAGGUCUUUGUUAGUAAGGCUUUACAGGAUUGAGGCAUAGGGAGGUCAACUGAUCAGGGCAAUCGACCUACCCAUACUUGUUCAUAUGCUUCUCCAUUCUGGUGGGUGGACUGGAGUUUUGAGCACACCUUCAGGACCAACAGCUUCCAGGCAGCUCAGUUCCUUAGGUUGCUAUUCGUCUUAGUUUUAUUCCCUGUUGCUGUGAUAAAAUACCUUGCCAAAAGAAAUGUAGGGGGAAAAGUUAAUUUGGACCCAAAACUCUGAGUUACACUCCAUCAUUGCAGGAUAGUCAAGGCAAUGGGAACCAGAAGCAACUAGUUACAUCCAGUUAAGAGGAGAGAGAAUAAUGUGCAUUUAUUUCCCUGUGCUCGGCUCACUUUCUCCAUUUCAUAUAAUUAGUCCAUGACACAAAAUUAGGGACAGUGUUGCCCACAUUUAGGCUGUAUCUUUUCCCAUGAUCUAGCCUAAUAAAUACAUUCUCCACCAUACUUUGUAUGACCUAAAAUAGGCCCUCACUGAGACUCCUCCCCAGGUGAUUCUAGAUUGUGUCAUCUUGACACAAUGAGCAGUCACAUUAUAUAAAAGGAAGAAAAAGGUAAGAAACCAGAACAUGAGCCAAGAUCCCUAAACAUUUUGGACACUCCUGGCCUCCAGCCAGGACAAGAACUACUGCUAGAAGAGUCCCAGCUUCUGGCUUCUGGUUGCCAAGAACAAGAAGCAGAGCCGCCCUUUUCAGGUCCCCUCACCAAACUGUCUGACCAGUUUCUUCCUCCUGCUUUUGUCAGUAGCAAUCACUCUGGACCUGUUGGUAAUGCUUCAGUGUCAUGGGUAUGGAAUAUCUCCCCCAAAUUCUAUUUCAGUGAAAUUUUAGGAUGUCAGGAUGUCACUUCUAAGAUGAAAGAUAAGUUGUUGUAUCUGGCCCUUCCUUCAGAAAGUAGGGCAUGUGCCCAGUGGGAGAAGAGAAAACUCUUCAGCAGGUCCAGACUAGCAAGCAGAUCACUGUGCCAUUCAGGCCACAUGAGCUUGCAAAUCCAGUUGUUCUUGACGUGGGACUGGCAGAUUUAGAUACCGUUUCAUCUUUGGCAGGCACACAGAGGUGAAUCACAAUACAAACUCAUAGAUUGGAAUAACACCCUGCUUUCUUUGUGGAAAACUGCUCUGUCUUUAGUUUGUUGCUGGAUGUUGGUCAGAACUGAACACUUAGAUACCACUUGACUAUGUGGCCUGAACUCGGUGCCAAAUCAUGUUGCCAGUAAAUAGUGUAGGUAUGAUCUGACUGCAUUUCUGUGGUGUUCUUCCCCAAGCCCACAGUCCCAGAAUAAUGGGGGCUGGAGUGGGGGGUGGCAUUCAGAGAACAGUUAGAAGAAGGGCCUCCUAUAAGUUACCUGACCAAGCUGGAGAGAUGGCUCAGCUGUUAAAAACCCUUGCUGUUCUUGCAGAAGCCCUGGGUUUGAUUCCCAGCACCUACCACGCAGGCUCACAACAACCUGUGACUCUGAUUCCAAAGAUGAAAAGCCCUCUUCGGACUUCCUCAGACACUACACACACAUAAUACACAUACAUACGCACAGACAGACACAUACACAUAAAAAUAAGAUAAAUACAUCUUAACAAAAGAAAACAAUUCUUCAGAACUGUCAAGAUCUUCAAAAGGAAACUAUUUGAGAGACCAUUAUAGCCAGAGGCAGUCCAAGGGCGCAGCAACUAAAUAUGCAAUGGUGGAAUCCCUUUAACACAAAAAGACAUUUUAGUUAUACAAGGAAAGUCUGAAUAAACAAUGGACUUUAUAAUAUUGGUUCAUUAACGAUUGCAAACAUACCAUGCUAAACAUGAACACUUUAGUAUUAGAACAAACUGGAUAGGAAGCAUGUGAGAACUCUGUCUGAAAUACAUUUUUUGUAAAUAAAUUGCUCUAAAAUUGAUUGUAUUUUUAAAAUUUUAACUUGUAUUUAUUGUGUGUGUGCAUAUAUAAUAUGUAUAGGGAUAAACAUGCAUGGAGAGAUAAAAGGAAAACUUAAUGGAGUCCAUUCUCUCAACUUUUCUGUGGAUCCCAAGGGACCAAACUCAAGUCUGCAGGCUUAUGUGACAGGCAUCUUGAUUAACCACUGAGGUAUCUUGUUGAGCCAAGUCUGUUGUAUUUUUCAAGAAUCAAAUCUGAAUCACCAUGUCACGAUAUUUUAAACCCAAAACUUUCCAAAAUAGUAAAACAUACCCACUUGUAGUGUUCUUGCAUGCCUCAUUUAAAUUUCUUCUUUAAUUUUGGCUUUUUGGGACAGGAUUUUUUGGACCCCAAUCUGGAUUCAAACUCACAGUGUAGCUCAAGGGUGACCUGGGAGUGAAUGUCCUGCCUCCCCUUGCCAAGUGCGAGGACUACAGGUGUUUGCCAAGACACCAUCUCAGAACUUAAACAUCA
This 3242-nucleotide long non-coding RNA is filed under the name Cricetulus griseus (Chinese hamster). Its description in RNAcentral is "lncRNA (ENSCGRG00015037341.1)". The record is from RNAcentral. Lineage: Eukaryota; Metazoa; Chordata; Mammalia; Rodentia; Cricetidae.